GCCUCCAUUUGCCUUGAGGUACUUGAAUGACUACCUUCUUAUCUCCGGAGAUUGGCAGGGUCUGCCUUGUCACUUAGACUUUGAUUUGGAGUUCCAUAAGAGGAAAAAUGCUGAUAAAAAUGGAGAUGAGAUGGAUGAUCUUAUGAUAUUGGUUGUCUUGGAGGUGUUGCUUGACAAGUACUCAAUCCAAGGAAACCAAGAAUGGGCAGUGAAGCUCAAUUCUUCAACUGAAGGUAUGUUCAUGGAUUUCUAGUGAAAGGGAAACAGACAGAAGAUAUGAAAAGUUGUUUAUAUCGAGAAAGAUUCCAGCCCAUCGACAGGUCAGAUAUUUGUGGAAUCUGCUGUCUAUUCAAGGAAUUGAUGCUUUUCUUUGGCUCUAUCAUCCAAGGCAGGCAAGAGUUCUAUCCUUCUGCCGAUUGGGCAUUUCAAAUGCAAGGACAUGGUACGUUACUCCUUGUAAUUGAGGUCUAGAGACUCAUGAGGCAUCUUUGGAACAUGGGUGUGAUGAACUGUUCCUAGUUCACUCAAAAUGUUCCUCAAAACUACCAGCAGAGGGUUCUUUUAUGCCUUUGUAUCAUUUGAGAAAGUUAGAUUCACACAUGAGAAAAUGUGCAUGUGCACACAGAGAAGAGAAUUUAUUGUGAUAGUGCUUGAAAUAGUGAUGACUCUAUCCCAUUUGCUCUUUAAAGGUUCAUGUGCUCAUUGACACUCAAAAUGCGCCUACUCUCUCCUGACAGUGUGAGGAAGACAUGAUCAUGGCUUCUUUGAUCUGCAUUGUGGAUUUUGAUUGUCAGAAGAUCCUAGUCUGCAAAUGGAGUUGGAUUGUGGAAAGAAACUUCAGUUCGAUGCGGAGGUAGUUACAAAUUUGAAUUAGUUCUUGUAUCGGGUCCCUUUAUGAACUAUAUUCAUAUGAUUUGCUGUACUUGUUAUUAUCAGCAAAAAUAUUAGUUGUCUUGA
Molecule: long non-coding RNA, 957 nt
Organism: Eucalyptus grandis
Lineage: Eukaryota; Viridiplantae; Streptophyta; Magnoliopsida; Myrtales; Myrtaceae
Exons: 2
Source: RefSeq, a predicted model, not a curated record